Musa acuminata AAA Group (dessert banana) is the source of this 1540-nucleotide long non-coding RNA. RefSeq lists it as uncharacterized. The transcript has 3 exons. Lineage: Eukaryota; Viridiplantae; Streptophyta; Magnoliopsida; Zingiberales; Musaceae. The record is from RefSeq and is a predicted model, not a curated record.
UGUAAAAAAGCAAGAGUCGGUGAGAAAACCGUCGGCUGCCGCGAGAUCGUGGGUGGGGGGCGAAAGAGCAGACUUUCCUUUAACGACGGUCGGCGAAAGAGGGUGGACGAUGGACGAACAUGAGAUCUGUUCUUCGGCUUCGAGAGACACGAGUUCUAUGAAGAUCUUGCAUCAGGCUAUCUCCGACGGUACCACCAUCAAAACAGUUGAGUCCACCUUAUAAACCACCAUCAAAACACGAGUUCUAUGAAGAACACAUCUCGUAUUCGUACAUCGUCCACCCGGAGUUCUUCUGCCGGUAGUCGUUGAAGGAAAGGCUGCUCUUUCACCUCACCACUAUCUCGAGGCUGCUCUUUCACCUCACCACUAUCUCGCGCCUUUGUUGACUAGUUCUUGCUUUUUGUCCAGAGUCUUAAGAACCGGUGCUGGCCUUUCGAUCCACGCGCGAGCCGUUGCUGUUCUGUUCUUGAGCUUUCGCUCCGCAAAGAAGUAUCCCUCCUGCCGAUCGCUGCCAAGAAGAUUCUACCGCUCGCUCGGUCCUGUAGACGUCAGCGAAGGCGACAACGUGGACAGGGAAGGGUGUGCCGAUGACCUAGUUGGCGAGGUAGUCGACCACAGUUCCUCCGCCGUUGUAGCCUCUCGGAACGAGGCCGACGGACUCCAUGGGCGACGGUUGUUUCUUGAAGAGGAGAGAAGACAAAGUGCCUUCAUCUUCUUUGAAUCCCAUCGCCCCGUUCGGUCUUGCUCGACUCGGAAACAAAGGUUCGAGGAUCUUGAAGAUGGAGGUAUCUGCCCUGGUGUUGGCUUGUGGCGUGAGGGUGGGAACUGAUGGAAGGUACAAUAUUUGGUGUUGUAUUGGCAAUCCGUUGGCAUUGCAUUAGGCGGCAUGCUUCCGAGGCCAAGUGCUUCACAGUGCCGUCUUCACCAGAGGGUUGGAACUGAUGGAACCAAUAAUAGGUCCCUGUAUGCCAUCAAGGUCGGACCUUUCCACGACCCCAAGUGAUUUCUUUUCGAUUCUUACCACACCAUCGUUUUGAGAAUAGUGCUGCAACACCCAUAUAGCCGAAUACUUACAAGCAGACAGCUAGAGUGGCCCUCUGUGCAUCUUCACUGUAGUGCCAGAUUUAUUUUGCUGGAGCAUUGCUGGGUACUAGCUUAUUAAGUAAAUGUUUUAUUUCUUUAGAUUAUUAGUUAUCGAAUUCAUCAUGGCAAUCAGAGUUCUGCAUUCACUAUCUCCCUCACCCCACAACAUGGAACUUGUGGUUCGUUUUAACAUUUCAUUCAGUGAUGUACUUCCAUGUGAUGACAUGAAUUUAUGCAUCUUCUUUCAGGUUGAGAGAUCAUUUGACUUAUCCAGGGUUCGUAAAUGUUUUUUUUUUUCUUGACUUGAUUAAAAACAUGUAUGUUUAUUCUUGUGUGGGUUAUGGAUGUAUUUUACAGAUUUUCUGGUGAACUAUACCUAAAAUUUGUAUGUGUCUUUGAGAUGUCACUUAUAUGAAUUCAUGCCUUCUUGUUAAUUAUUGAGGAUCAAAAUUUUCAA